Molecule: long non-coding RNA, 230 nt
Filed under: Brassica napus (rape)
Lineage: Eukaryota; Viridiplantae; Streptophyta; Magnoliopsida; Brassicales; Brassicaceae
Description: long non-coding RNA (BNAP_LNC021987)
Source: RNAcentral
CCAGAUGAACAUUGUCUAUAAGAAAUCCUCUGGAGGAUUCUCUGUCCACUUUUCCAUUGCCAUAGCCCAGUGAUUAUAAGACCACGAUCUGUCUUUGAGAACAACUUCCAGAUCUUCUUCCCUAUCGAAAACAAACUGAAAUCUCUCACGAGACAGAGAAAUUCCAUGAACUCUACCCUCCAUUCUCCAAGCCGUUGGCAUGUAGUCAAUCAUACGAGCCAUAGAUUGAC